Long non-coding RNA from Pipra filicauda (Wire-tailed manakin), 2665 nucleotides. RefSeq lists it as uncharacterized. The record is from RefSeq and is a predicted model, not a curated record. The transcript is spliced from 2 exons. Lineage: Eukaryota; Metazoa; Chordata; Aves; Passeriformes; Pipridae.
GCAGCGCCCCCUGCCGGCGGAGCGCGGCGCGGCCGGGGCAGAUUCCCACGGCCCUGUGAAGGUGCGGUUGAGCAACGAGAGCUGGCGGAAUCCAAGAGGCAGCGCUUUCCCCCCCAUCGCUGCCCCACAGUCUCUCCUCCUGCCCGCUCUGGUGCUCACCUUACACACAGGGUAAACCAGCAGGGACUUCCUAAACCACCAAGAAGCUGUUCCCGUUCCCGGCGUGUUAGUUUUCAGCUACUAAUUACCUGCACUGGCUCUCCGUGGGGCUGAGGAGAGGCAGCGUGUGAGACACGGGGAGGAGCGAAUCCAUCCUCCUUUGGCAGCAGGAACGUUUUGGCAACGGCGUUAAACCAGUCAAACUGUAUUGUCUAACCACACCCUGCACCAGGAUUUGCCUUGAAUUCACUUAAAUAUUCCGUUCUGCCUUCUUGCCUAAGCAGCAGUAAUGCCUAGUGAUGGGAAGGUAACAAAGAGCAACUGCUAAUGGUGUGGUGUUUCUUUCAGAUAAUGGUUCGUGCCAAGGAAAGGGAUAUUCCAUAUUCCCCACCUCUGCAUGCCCCCUUCUUUUCCCUGGAUUUAAUCCAGCCAUUGUGUGUCUACAGGAUAGUUCGGCUCUGUUGGCCUUGCAGAGGAAAAUUAACAAUAGGCAGAAAAGAAAAAAGCAGCCCAUGUGUAGUAAGGACUGAGAUCCAGCAGGCUUAAUAAGACCUCCACCCAAGAAGAUUUACAUUUAAACCUGGAGAAACUGCUUGGAAGCUGGCUGAGGCUCUACAUCCAUUCUGAUGUCCCCACUCGUGCAAUCCUUCCCCAAAGUAUCCUACAGCAGGAUUAAAUCAUUCCUAAGGGUAAAGGAACAUGCUCCUGCCUAGCAGCACCAUAUUGCCUUCUCCAACACAUUUUCACUUCCAGUUCAUCUCCUUUGCUCCUCAUACACCCUUCCCAAACUAUAUAUCCAUACUCCUGAUUCUCGUGGCCACAGUUUCCUCUGUGCUACAGCAUCUGCCUUGUACCAGUAACUGGUAGUUGUGUUUAUUAUGGGCAGCCUUGAGUAUUCCUCAUUUAUAGGGCAAUAAUGAAUCCUCUGGCCUCAUCAAUGCUGGUAGUGGGAAAAAGAAAUACCAGCCACAAAACCCAAACCAAAACAGAACCACGUCCUAUUCUGAUCAAGGGAUAAUGGUGUUAGUGACAGCUUUUAGGCAAGUUAUAAUGAGACGAGGUGAAAAAUAGUAGAUCAGCCCCCUCCCAAGUCAGUACUUUCCACAAAAUCAGGAGCUGAGAUGCUAUUUUAUAUCCCUCCAUGUCACUGAAACCUCAGCUCACAUUCAUGGAUGGAGAAGUGCCCAAGAGUGCAAGGACCAAGGUUCCUGCUUUCAGCAGCAACAUCAGUUUCUAUCUAUUCAAAUAAAACUGCUUCAUUUCUUCUCCUGUACUUAGAGCAAAUAUGUUAUUUACACCCCCCCAAGAUUAACAAGGGUUAGAACCCAGGGCAAUUGAGAAGUUGCUCCUAAGGCCAUCUGGCUCAGUUGUGUGGCAGCUCUGCUCUCUUCACCCUAACAAGCUGUUCCUGCUCCUGUCCUUGGCCACAGCUCUGGAGCUACCCUGGCUCUUAAACAGGGCACACAGGACAGGGGAGAUUAGAGCUGGAUUCAGCCCCAGAGGCUUAUCUGGUCUGGCUCAAGGGAAGCUGGACUGGCCUGGCUGGUCGUGUGGAAUCACUCCUGUGGCUGUGCAGGGAGAAUUUUCCUAAAGCCAGCUCAGGGGCUGUCAGGUCAACAUCCACAGCAUGGCCCAAACCCAACACACCAUCCUGGGCUGGAUGGGAGUUGGCUCAGCACAACAUUCAGAAGUCUCUCUCUAAUUAUUUUACCAUCUCAGCAAUUUUAAAUUUUUUUUUAAGUUGGCACGUUGGAUCUUGUAUUUACAUGUUUUUGAAAGGAAAAAAAAAAGCAUUUGCAUUCUUGUAGAUAGUUACAGAAAAUAAAGUUACAAAAGGAAAGGUUUUGUUGAGCCAGAAAGAAACAAAAAAAAAAUUAACAGAGUUUAAACCAUUUUCUGCUUAGAUAUGCUAUGCAUCCUUCCACAGAAUCACUUCAUGUUUUGUUAUAGCUCCUCUGUUUUGCUCUCAGUUCUGCCUGCUGUAUUCCCUGCACAGCCCUACACUCUGAGGGUUUUUUUUUCCCAUUCAUGCUGCCAUAUAUACAGAACAAAUAUGAGAAAGGCUGCAUUGCCCUUAAGAUUAUAAUCAACAAAGUGUUCUCUGUUUCACCUGAAGCAAAACGCUUAGAUAAAUAAUUUUGGUUUGUGUCUAACCUUUAACGAAAUGAAAACAAUUCUGCCUGAAGACACACUCUACUGACUCACUCAGGUGUGGUUUCAGUAGCCAGUUUACAUCAGAGACUGCAGGCUUUUUGCCAUAACUUUUAUUAAAAUUUAGUGCCAUGGUAACAAAAUGCAUGCAUUUAAUAUUUUUUUUACUGCAUGAAAUACUACUUGGACAAAGACUUUACAGUAGUAUGGAAGUCAGCAUGUCAAAAAUUAUAAUAAAAUAUUACUAAACACAUAAUUGAAAAAAAUGCAAUUGUGGCAAAUUGCACAUAAUUGUAUUUGGUCAUCUGGUCUAAUAUCCACUAAAAAUAAAUCCACUCCAGCCACAAAUUUAGAA